UGGGGAAUAUUGCACAAUGGGCGAAAGCCUGAUCCAGCAAUGCCGCGUGUGUGAAGAAGGCCUUCGGGUUGUAAAGCACUUUUGUCCGGAAAGAAAUCCUUGGCUCUAAUACAGUCGGGGGAUGACGGUACCGGAAGAAUAAGCACCGGCUAACUACGUGCCAGCAGCCGCGGUAAUACGUAGGGUGCAAGCGUUAAUCGGAAUUACUGGGCGUAAAGCGUGCGCAGGCGGUUUGCUAAGACCGAUGUGAAAUCCCCGGGCUCAACCUGGGAACUGCAUUGGUGACUGGCAGGCUAGAGUAUGGCAGAGGGGGGUAGAAUUCCACGUGUAGCAGUGAAAUGCGUAGAGAUGUGGAGGAAUACCGAUGGCGAAGGCAGCCCCCUGGGCCAAUACUGACGCUCAUGCACGAAAGCGUGGGGGAGCAAACAGGAUUAGAUACCCUGGUAGUCCACGCCCUAAACGAUGUCAACUAGUUGUUGGGGAUUCAUUUCCUUAGUAACGUAGCUAACGCGUGAAGUUGACCGCCUGGGGAGUACGGUCGCAAGAUUAAAACUCAAAUGAAUUGACGGGG
RNAcentral lists this ribosomal RNA (571 nucleotides) under uncultured bacterium. RNAcentral describes it as "partial 16S ribosomal RNA". It matches the Rfam family "Bacterial small subunit ribosomal RNA", at positions 355 to 918 of the family's 1533-position model. The record is from RNAcentral.